AGCAGCCGCGGUAAUUCCAGCUCCAAUAGCGUAUAUUAAAGUUGUUGCAGUUAAAAAGCUCGUAGUUGAAUUUCGGGAUCAAAUUGUCGGUCGUGCCUCGGUACGCACUGGCGUUAUUGGUUCCUCCCUUCUGAAGAACCGCGAUGUCAUUAAUUUGGUGUCGCGGGGAAUCAGGACUGUUACUUUGAAAAAAUUAGAGUGUUUAAAGCAAGCUCGCGCUUGAAUACAUUAGCAUGGAAUAAUGAAAUAGGACGUUUGAUUCUAUUUUGUUGGUUUCUAGGAUCGACGUAAUGAUUAAUAGGGAUAGUUGGGGGCAUUAGUAUUCAAUUGUCAGAGGUGAAAUUCUUGGAUUUAUUGAAGACUAACUACUGCGAAAGCAUUUUGCCAAGGAUGUUUUCAUUAAUCAAGAACGAAAGUUAGGGGAUCGAAGACGAUCAGAUACCGUCGUAGUCUUAACCAUAAACUAUGCCGACUAGGGAUCGGAUGAUGUUAAUUUUUUAAUGACUCAUUCGGCGCCUUA
RNAcentral lists this ribosomal RNA (520 nucleotides) under uncultured Glomus. RNAcentral describes it as "SSU rRNA". It matches the Rfam family "Eukaryotic small subunit ribosomal RNA", at positions 569 to 1090 of the family's 1831-position model. Lineage: Eukaryota; Fungi; Glomeromycota; Glomeromycetes; Glomerales; Glomeraceae. The record is from RNAcentral.